This is a long non-coding RNA of Diceros bicornis minor, 350 nucleotides long. RefSeq lists it as uncharacterized. The record is from RefSeq and is a predicted model, not a curated record. Lineage: Eukaryota; Metazoa; Chordata; Mammalia; Perissodactyla; Rhinocerotidae. The transcript is spliced from 3 exons.
AGGGAGGGGCUCCCUAACUGAGCAGCCUGCUGCCCCCAGCCGAGUUUGGUGGCAGCAGUGGGAUCCAAAGGAGACGCCUGAUGGCUUCGAGGAUGAGAAACAGUCAUUGGUACCAGCAAAACCUUUGAGUUCUCCAUCUUUUUCACUGUUUCUGAGGGCUGUGGCGUCAGCUGCUGAGCUCCAGCCAGCGGCAGAAGAAGAGCAGUGGGCAGUGGUGGAGGUAGAGCUGGCUCCAGCUCCGUUGACACCACCCCCUCUAGCACUGGAGCCAGUGUCCCCUCCACCAGCAGUGUUGGAGGUGGAGCAAGGGCCAACAUGGGCUCCAGCAGGAGUAGGAGCUGCUUAGCUAG